UUAUUUAUAUAUGUAUGUGUGGUGUGUGAAGGCUGGUGGAAACACUGUUCUGUGAGCACCAUGUUGGGUUGACUCCAGGAAGAGUAGCUGUACUUGUUACAGCUAAUGGAGAUCAAAUAAAUAAGAAAUCUUGUCCAUC
Long non-coding RNA from Thalassophryne amazonica, 139 nucleotides. RefSeq lists it as uncharacterized. Lineage: Eukaryota; Metazoa; Chordata; Actinopteri; Batrachoidiformes; Batrachoididae. The record is from RefSeq and is a predicted model, not a curated record. The transcript is spliced from 3 exons.